This 68-nucleotide transfer RNA is filed under the name Layahima wuzhishana. Its description in RNAcentral is "tRNA-Phe". It matches the Rfam family "tRNA". From Rfam's summary of the family: Transfer RNA (tRNA) molecules are approximately 80 nucleotides in length. Their secondary structure includes four short double-helical elements and three loops (D, anti-codon, and T loops). Lineage: Eukaryota; Metazoa; Arthropoda; Insecta; Neuroptera; Myrmeleontidae. The record is from RNAcentral.
AUUUUAAUAGCUUAUAUUAGAGCGUGACACUGAAGAUGUUAAAGUAGUAAUUUAUUUACUUUAAAAUA